AACGAACGCUGGCGGCAUGCCUAACACAUGCAAGUCGAACGAGACCUUCGGGUCUAGUGGCGCACGGGUGCGUAACGCGUGGGAACCUGCCCUUAGGUUCGGAAUAACUCCCCGAAAGGGGUGCUAAUACCGGAUAAUUUCUUCGGACCAAAGAUUUAUCGCCUUUGGAUGGGCCCGCGUUGGAUUAGCUAGUUGGUAGGGUAAAAGCCUACCAAGGCGACGAUCCAUAGCUGGUCUGAGAGGAUGAUCAGCCACACUGGGACUGAGACACGGUCCAGACUCCUACGGGAGGCAGCAGUGGGGAAUAUUGGACAAUGGGCGAAAGCCUGAUCCAGCAAUGCCGCGUGAGUGAUGAAGGCCUUAGGGUUGUAAAGCUCUUUUACCCGGGAUGAUAAUGACAGUACCGGGAGAAUAAGCGCCGGCUAACUCCGUG
This 433-nucleotide ribosomal RNA is filed under the name uncultured bacterium. RNAcentral describes it as "partial 16S ribosomal RNA". It matches the Rfam family "Bacterial small subunit ribosomal RNA", at positions 29 to 507 of the family's 1533-position model. The record is from RNAcentral.